RNAcentral lists this transfer RNA (71 nucleotides) under Ictidomys tridecemlineatus (thirteen-lined ground squirrel). RNAcentral's name for it is "Spermophilus tridecemlineatus (thirteen-lined ground squirrel) tRNA". It matches the Rfam family "tRNA". Rfam says of the family: Transfer RNA (tRNA) molecules are approximately 80 nucleotides in length. Their secondary structure includes four short double-helical elements and three loops (D, anti-codon, and T loops). The record is from Rfam by way of RNAcentral. Lineage: Eukaryota; Metazoa; Chordata; Mammalia; Rodentia; Sciuridae.
GGGGGUGUAUCUCAGUGGUAGAGCACUUGCCUAGCACAUUAAGGCCCUGGGUUCAAUCCCCAGCACCUCAA